UACGAAGGGGGCGAGCGUUGUUCGGAUUUACUGGGCGUAAAGGGCGUGCAGGCGGUUUGUUAAGUGCAGGGUGAAAGCUCCCGGCUCAACUGGGAGAGGUCCUUGCAUACUGGCGAACUCGAGGGAGGCAGAGGAAAGUGGAAUUCCCGGUGUAGUGGUGAUAUGCGUAGAUAUCGGGAGGAACACCUGCGGUGUAGACGGCUUUCUGGACCAUAACUGACGCUGAGAUACGAAAGCGUGGGUAGCAAACAGG
This 253-nucleotide ribosomal RNA is filed under the name uncultured bacterium. RNAcentral describes it as "partial 16S ribosomal RNA". It matches the Rfam family "Bacterial small subunit ribosomal RNA", at positions 524 to 776 of the family's 1533-position model. The record is from RNAcentral.